UCCGGUUUGUCACCGGCAGUCCCAUUAGAGUGCUCAACUGAAUGUAGCAACUAAUGGCAAGGGUUGCGCUCGUUGCGGGACUUAACCCAACAUCUCACGACACGAGCUGACGACAGCCAUGCAGCACCUGUGUCCAGGUUCCCUUUCGGGCACCCCUGCAUUUCUGCAGGGUUCCUGGCAUGUCAAGGGUAGGUAAGGUUUUUCGCGUUGAACGGUUGGUU
RNAcentral lists this unclassified non-coding RNA (221 nucleotides) under uncultured Gammaproteobacteria bacterium. Its description in RNAcentral is "contains 16S-23S intergenic spacer region". Lineage: Bacteria; Pseudomonadati; Pseudomonadota; Gammaproteobacteria. The record is from RNAcentral.